CAUAAUGUAAUUGGACCUGCCUUGGUUGUUUAUUUUAUCACCUUUACAAAAAUGCAUUUUAUAUUUACUUAAGUAAAUAUACCUCUCUGCGAACCGCCACCUUACCGUGGUGGAGGGGUUUGAGUGCCUGAAUGACCUCAGGAGCUAUGUUGCCUGGGGCUAUAUGCCCCUGGUAGGGUCUCCCAUGGCAAACAGGUCUUGGGUGACAGACGAGACAAAGCGCGGUUCAAAACCCCCUUAUGACUAUAAAAUCAAGGCUCUCGUUCACCCCGCCCAGUAUGGGGUCACCGGGGUCCCACCCUGGAACCAGGCCUAGGGGAGGGGCUUGCACGCGAGCGCCUGGUGGCCAGGUCUAUGCCCACGGGGCCUGGCCAGGCUCAGCCCGAAGCCAAGACGUGGAGCCACUCUUCGGUGGGCUCACCACCUGCUGGAGAGGCCGUAAGGGGCCGGUGCAUUGUGAUUUGGGCGGUGGUCGGGACCGAGUGCCCGGCCGACCCAAACCUCGGGCGCCAACUCUGGUUUUUGGGACUUGGAAUGUCACUUCACUGGCGGGGAAGGAGCCUGAGCUGGUGCAGGAGGUUGAGAGAUACCGUUUAGAUAUAGGCGGGCUCACUUCCACUCACAGCUUGGGUUCUGGAACCACUCUUCUCGACCAAGGGUGGACUCUCCACUAUUCUGGCGUUGCCCAGGGUGAGAGGCGGCGGGCGGGUGUGGGCUUAUUAAUAGCCCCCCGGUUCGGCCGCCAUGUGUUGGAGUCUACCCCGGUGAACGAGAGGGUCGUCUCCCUGCACCUUCGGGUCAGAGAACAGUCUCUCACUGUCGUUUGUGCUUACGCGCCUAGCGGCAGUGCAGAGUACCCGGCCUUUUUGGAGUCCCUGGGGGUGCGUGCUGGAAAGCGCUCCCACUGGGGACUCUUUCGUUCUACUGGGGGACUUUAACGCCCACGUGGGCAGCGACAGUGACACCUGGAGGGGCGUGAUUGGGAGGAACGGCCUCCCUGAUCUGAACCCAAGUGG
This 1016-nucleotide long non-coding RNA is filed under the name Scleropages formosus (Asian bonytongue). RNAcentral describes it as "lncRNA (ENSSFOG00015032414.1)". The record is from RNAcentral. Lineage: Eukaryota; Metazoa; Chordata; Actinopteri; Osteoglossiformes; Osteoglossidae.